GACGAACGCUGGCGGCGUGCCUAAUACAUGCAAGUCGAGCGAUAAAGAUUGGUGCUUGCACCAAUUUGAAGUGCAGCGCACGGGUGAGUAACGCGUGUGGAAUCUGCCUUUGAUCGGGGGACAACAUUUGGAAACGAAUGCUAAUACCGCAUAACAUCUUUAUACAUAAUUUUUAAGUUUGAAAGAUGCCAUUGCAUCACUCAAAGAUGAUCCCGCGUUGUAUUAGCUUGUUGGUGAGGUAAAGGCUCACCAAGGCGAUGACACAUAGCCGACCUGAGAGGGUGAUUGGCCAGAUUGGGACGGUGACACGGCACAUAGUCCUACGGGAGGGGGCAGUAGGGAAUCGUCGGCAAGCGACGGAAGUCUGACCAAGAAGCGCCGAAGGAGUGAAGAAGAAUGUCGGAUGCGAAAUGUCGGUUGGUAGAGUAGAACGUGGGUGAGAGUGGAAAGCUGAGCAAGUGACGGUAACGAGCCAGAAAGAAACGGCUAACUACGUG
This 497-nucleotide ribosomal RNA is filed under the name uncultured bacterium. RNAcentral describes it as "partial 16S ribosomal RNA". It matches the Rfam family "Bacterial small subunit ribosomal RNA", at positions 28 to 507 of the family's 1533-position model. The record is from RNAcentral.